AUGUUGGCUCAGAAGCAGCCACUCAUUUAAAGAGUGCGUAACAGCUCACUAGUCGAGAGGUCUAGCGCCGAAAAUGUCCGGGGCUAAAACACACCACCGAAGCUACGGAAUUACCUAUGGUAAUUGGUAGAGGAGCAUUCUGUAAGGAUGAAGCACAAUUGAAAGAGAGUGUGGACGAAACAGAAGAGAGAAUGCCGGAAUGAGUAGCGAGAUAUAUGUGAGAAUCAUAUAGGUCGAAUGUCUAAGGUUUCCUGGGUAAAGCUGAUCUGCUCAGGGUAAGUCGGGACCUAAGGUGAGGGCGAGAGCCGUAAUCGAUGGACAACAGGUAGAAAUUCCUGUACUACGUAUAAUCAGAACUGUGGGGACGCAGGAGGAUAGGAAAACCGGAGAAUGGAAAAAUCCGGCUAAGUACAAAGGUGUGAGUGAUAGGCAAAUCCGUCACUAUUAGCUGAAGUACGAAUGGGAGCGAAGAAAAGUAGCGAAGUUUCUGAAUCCACACUGUCAAGAAAAGCCGCUAUUGCGUUAUACGUACCCGUACCGCAAACCGACACAGGUAGACGAGGAGAAAAUCCACAGACCGACGGGAGAAGUGUUGUUAAGGAACUCGGCAAAAUGACCCCGUAACUUAGGGAUAAGGGGAGCCACGCAAGUGGUCACAGAAAAGAGGCUCAAGCGACUGUUUAGCAAAAACAUAGGUCUAUGCGAAACCGUAAGGUGAUGUAUAUGGGCUGACACCUGCCCGGUGCUGGAAGGUCAAAAGGAGAGGUUAGCGUAAGCGAAGCUUUGAAUUCAAGCCCCAGUAAACGGCGGCCGUAACUAUAACGGUCCUAAGGUAGCGAAAUUCCUUGUCAGGUAAGUUCUGACCCGCACGAAAGGUGUAACGAUUUGAGCACUGUCUCGACAACACGCCCGGUGAAAUUGAAGAACCAGUGAAGAUACUGGUUACCCGCAACAGGACGGAAAGACCCCAUGGAGCUUUACUGCAGCUUAAUAUUGGGAUUCGGUAUUGUAUGUACAGGAUAGGAGGGAGACUAAGAAGCUAGCACGCCAGUGUUGGUGGAGUCGAUGGUGGGAUACCUCUCUUAUAAUACUGAAUUUCUAACCUACUUCCGUGAUCCGGAAGA
This 1124-nucleotide ribosomal RNA is filed under the name human gut metagenome. Its description in RNAcentral is "bacterial LSU rRNA". It matches the Rfam family "Bacterial large subunit ribosomal RNA", at positions 1098 to 2247 of the family's 2925-position model. The record is from RNAcentral.